AAUUCUUUGUAUUUUGUGUAGUAGAGUAUAAGCUCUGAAAGAUCAAGAAGCUAUAUUCUUGCUCACAUCUGUAUCUCCAGUUGUGUCCACCAACACUCUUAUUUAUGAAAUGAAUGUCUAUUAUAAAGCCAUCUCUUAAUUUUGAGGUAUUCCAUUUAUUUUUAUAGAUGUACCUGUGUGGUCUAAGCUGGAAUCUGGUCAUCUUCCUUCCAUGCAACAACUUGUUCAAAUUCUUGACAAUGAAAUGAAGCUCAAUGUGCAUAUGGAUUCAAUCCCACAUCAUCGAUCAUAGCCCCACCUAUCAGCACUGAAAACUUUUACAUUAAGGAAUUUUUGCAAGAGCAGCGCGACUGACAUUAUGAAGGCCUGUACUGAAGACAGCAAGCUGUUAGUACAGACCAGAUUCUUUUUUGGCAGGCUCGUUGUACCUCUUGGAAAACCUCAAUGCAAGAUAGUUUUUCAGUGCUGGCACAUUUUGGAAUUCUGCACAUUCAUGGAGUGCAAUAAUACUGUAUACUCUCCUAUCCCCAUUCAUCUAGUUAAUGUUUCUUUUUAAAAUGUAGGUAUUAUUACUACUUAUAACUUUUCCUCAGUCAUAUUUAAAAAAGGAGAAAUUGAAUUACAGUUUGUUUUUUUUCUCAAGAUGUCUGUUAAGUCUGUUUUGCUUUUUUAAAUUAAUUCUUGUUUUUUUACAGUUUAAAGUCAAUGUUUUGGGGAAUACAGCUCAAGUUCCCAAAUACUUUAUAAAGUUUAUCAGACAUUUCUUAAUUUGGCCAUGUUCAAUUAUAGUUUUCAAAAUAUUGCUGGUUAUGAACAAUGCAUUAUAAGAUUAUGGGGAGAGGGUCCAAUAUCUAGAGUACUCAACCAAUUUGUGUGUAUGUGUGUAUGCGUGUGUGAUACCAGAGAACUACUACAAAACCAACUGCUUUUUAAAUCCUAUUGUGUAGUCAAGUGUCUUGCCUUGACCAGUCUACUGAGUUGAAUUAACUGGGCCUUUACCUUUAUACUUAACUAAAUAAAAAACUAAGCAGAUGUCAGUUAAAUGAGAAAGUUUCAGUUUAUUGUUCAGUGUACCUGUUAACAUCAUAUUUAAUGAUUGCCUAAUUUUUUUUUAAAUUUACAGAUAAUAUCCACAAGGAACAAACUUUAGAUUCAUACACAAAUAAUAAGUUCAUUUACCAUUUUUAGGAUAAAUGAAACUCACCUCACUAAAUAUAAGUUCACUUGAACCUCUUUACAAUAUUAAUAUUGCCAGGUGUGGUGGUGUACACCUGUAAUCCCAGCACCAGGGAGGCUGAGGCAGGAAGAUUGCUGUAAGUUCAAAGCCAGCUUGGGCUAGCAUAGUUCAAGGAUAGCAUGAACUAUAUAGUGAGACCCUCUCAAAACAAUACAAAACAGAAAAGCCCCCAAAACAUUGUUAUUAGGUGAACAGAGAUCUCUUGUUCAGUAACCUAAUUUGUCUAGAACAUAUAUCAAAUUGAUUGAUUGAUUGAUUUUUUAGGCAGGGUCUCACUGGUGUAGUCCAGGCUGGCCCUGAACUCAAUAUGUAUCCCAGGCUGAUCUCAAACUUGGGAUUGUCCUGCUUCAGCCUUCUGAGUGCUGGGAUUACAGGCAUCCGCCACCAUGCCCAGCAAGAAUUUUAUUGUAUUUAAAAAACAAAAUUGAAAAAAUUUUAAAUUCAAUUUUAUGCAUUGUUCCAGAGUUCUAAAAGGAGUUUUCUAAAAGCUUAAAUUGAUAAAAACUAUAAGAAUUAUUUAACAGAAAUAGGACCAUAAUGUACAAAAAAAGUUACAUAUCAGCAGCAAUGACAUACUUCAGCUUCCAUAAAAUAAAGUAGUAGAGGCAAAAGUUGCCCUAGAUUUGUUGGUGGAAAUUAAGAGAUUUAAGGAAAAGCUGUGAGGUAGUAAAAUAUUGGUUUCACCUAAUUCUUUAGUAUUAUAUGAUAUCUAACUUUAAACUUGGUCACUGAAUAUUUACUGAAUGUAUAUGAGAUAAUGACCCAGAUUGUGUCAGCCUCAAGGUGGAACAUACUGGGAAUUCUAGAUUAUGGGAAUUUAGUCUAAUGAUUCACUGCAGAAAAUUGAUUAAAUGAUUGUCCUUUUAAUUAAGAAUGUAGAACUGUUAACCUGAGUUCUUCAUACAGUGAUAGUCAGUAGACUUUAAAAGUUCCUUAAAAAUUAUUUAGGUAUAAUACCAUUUUAUCUUGUGUCAAACUCCCUGUCUCCUGCAAGUUGAAUAUCUUCUUUAGUGUGUCUUGGGGUUCUUUUUUCAGCUAAUGGACAGUCCAUUAGUGACACAGUUAACUUUUUAGCUCAUAGACAUUCAAACUGGGGCCUGAAUGUUCCCAUGGACCUGACAGGUCAACCUGAAGAACCUAAGAUUGAAAUCCAGCUUUCCCUAUGUUUGUGUUAGGUUAAAUAAUUGUCUUUUAGAGAAUAGAUUUAAGUGGCUUACCCACUGAAAAAACUCAGCUAUUUUGUUGACACUCGUCACUAUUUUGUCUUACGCUUAGCCAUAUUUAAAUCUAGAAUUUAAUAGGGUCUAGUAAAAAAAUCAGUAGAACACAUGAAUGUAAAAUACAUAUAAGGAAAAGGAGAAAGUAAACUAGAGUGUAACUCUUCCACUAACAUUUCAAAAUUUAUUAGUUGCUUAAUGGUGUGGCUGUGUAGUUUACAAAUGUCUAUGCACCAUAUUAAUUAAAAGAUUGUAGAACAUAUCAGCAAAUUGGCUAAAGUUAUUGAAGUUUUUUACUGCAGUUGUCAUUGUGGAAGAAAUUGUUAUAUUAAUAAAAAAUGAGUAAAACAUGGC
Molecule: long non-coding RNA, 2808 nt
Organism: Heterocephalus glaber (naked mole-rat)
Lineage: Eukaryota; Metazoa; Chordata; Mammalia; Rodentia; Bathyergidae
Source: Ensembl